CCCUUAACAAUUGAAGACUAUUUAUUAUUAUCAUAAAUUAAAGUACGCAACAUUUUUCAUAAAUUCUUCUACCGCAAAGUUGCAGGCCAAAAGCGUUAACAAAUAAUUCCAGAAACUGAAAGUGAAGGAGAAGAUGUAUUCAUUAAACUUAAAAUACUUAAAGUGCGUAGACAUGCAGCACUCGCUGACUCUUCAACUGCGACUCAGACCAAUACGACUUUCGUCGCAGAUAGAAUGUUGGUCCAUUUAAUUCAGCAGGACUAACUUUUUUUUUUUUUUUUUAAAAAUAGAUAGCAAGCUACCUGCUUCAUUUAUUAAGCUAAAUGAACUGAGUGUACAUGUUGGAAGCAGUUAGGGUUUCCGAAAGAACAGACUAAAGGAGCGAAAAAAAGAAAGAAAGAAGAAUUUUUAUGAUGUUAAAUAACAUGGUAAGGUG
This 436-nucleotide long non-coding RNA is filed under the name Ananas comosus (pineapple). RNAcentral's name for it is "long non-coding RNA (ACOM_LNC000092)". Lineage: Eukaryota; Viridiplantae; Streptophyta; Magnoliopsida; Poales; Bromeliaceae. The record is from RNAcentral.